UUCGCCUACGGGACGCAGCAGUGGGGAAUAUUGCACAAUGGGGGAAACCCUGAUGCAGCGACGCCGCGUGAGUGAAGAAGUAUUUCGGUAUGUAAAGCUCUAUCGGCAGGGAAGAAGAUGACGGUACCUGACCAAGAAGCCCCGGCUAACUACGUGCCAGCAGCCGCGGUAAUACGUAGGGGGCAAGCGUUAUCCGGAUUUACUGGGUGUAAAGGGGGCGCAGACGGCAAUGCAAGCCAGGAGUGAAAGCCCGGGGCCCAACCCCGGGACUGCUCUUGGAACU
This 283-nucleotide ribosomal RNA is filed under the name uncultured bacterium. Its description in RNAcentral is "partial 16S ribosomal RNA". It matches the Rfam family "Bacterial small subunit ribosomal RNA", at positions 334 to 634 of the family's 1533-position model. The record is from RNAcentral.